Punica granatum (pomegranate) is the source of this 1321-nucleotide non-coding RNA. The record is from RefSeq and is a predicted model, not a curated record. NCBI's taxonomy places the organism in Eukaryota, Viridiplantae, Streptophyta, Magnoliopsida, Myrtales, Lythraceae.
GGUUUUUUUCUUUUCUUUUCUUUUUUCUUAAUAUUUUUUGUUGUUUUCGCAGUCAUUCUCUUUUAGGUUUCUUUUCGUCUUGAUCGAUUGUGUUUAGUCCUCGAAAAAUCUCUGCAGUAUUCGAUUCUCUCCAGUUUGUAAGCUUAAUUAAUUUGUCUUGAUGUGUGCUGCCAGUUAGUAAAUUUCUCAUCUGUAGGGCAAGAAUGAAUUUUGAUGGUCAUGAUUUACGGAUUCAGAGAGGGAGGCUAAGGUUCACAUUAACCAGCCGAAUUGGAGGAUUGGCGAGGCUCUCGUUUUUUUUUUUUUUUUACAAGAGAGGCACAUAAACUUAAUAUCGAGGCUCCGUAACCUUUGCUUUGAAUGUGUUGCCUUUGAUUUGUGUUCUCAUAAAGAAAAAUGCCUGAGUUUGCUGCUUAUGAGUUAUUUUGUCCAUUUAUGUGUCUCUCUCAAAUAUUCUCUUCAGACUCAUGAACUCUUUUUUUUGUCCGUUUGUAACUUGUCUCUGUUUAUCAAGACGCAUUAUUACUCUGCAGUGAGUAGUGAAGUGUCAUUUCUGGCCCUUGAUAUCAUGACGCGGAGCCUUGAUAACUCCAACGUGGGAGCCAUAAGAUCCGUGCGAGGCCUGCGCACAUCACCCAUCCUGUGACCAUCACGUGGUGUAUUAAUAUGACUUUAAUUCAUGCUAGAAAUUUAUAUGUUUCCCGUAAGAUUUGUUAAGAUUUGGUAUUGUUACCUUUGAUAAUUUCUAAUCCACACAGCCUCUGUAUAUUGAAAUUUAACACUUUCGGAAGCUUCAUAUGCUAUUCUCUAGAUGGCUUUACGGGCUAAUACGAGAGAUCAACCUGCACAUGAGUCGAAUUGGCAGUCCGCUUCGAGAAAGAGCAAGUCUGCCUCUAGCCCGGAAGAGCCUGAUCCAUAUAGUAUUGAAGCAUGUAUGGCCGAGCUGAAUAGGAUGCAACAUAUUCCAGAUAGCGAUUCCGCUGCGGGUUUGAGAGCUUUUAAAGAUGCUUAUUGGCGGAAAGUGUUCAUGAUGAUGCCAAAGAAUAGGAGAGAGGGCUGGCUCUCGAGCGAAGAUUUGAGGGACCGAAGAAAGAUGCAAUAAUGGUCUUGUUCAUUACUAUAUAUAUAUAUAUAUAUAUAUAUAUAUAUAUAUCUGUGUGUGUGAGAUAUAUUAUUUAUUAUAUUAUAUUAACUGUCUUUGAAUAUAUAUAUUAUGUGUGACAAUAUAUGUUGUUUUUGACUUUAUAUACUAUUCUUUAUUAUAUGACAUUGUUUGUUUGUCAUUGCAUUUAUGUACGCGAUACUAAAUUUGAUUUCAUUA